GGCAAAUGGUGGGAGAAGAGGCAGGAAUGCAGGCAGGACCUGGUAAACCACGUUAAUGACACUUGGACUUGACCAUCAAGUUGAUGGGGAGUCACUGAAAACUUUCCCAAGGAGAUCAUGGAAUCAUUGCAGGUCUGCAUUUUGAAAAAUCUUUUUUGCAGUUUGAAGAGAAUCUGAGGGGAGGUGGUGUGGGAACAGGAACACAAGGAUCUGAGGCAGAGAUCAGUUGGUGAGUUCACUGCAAUAGGGACAAGAGAGGAUAAUGGUGGUGGUGGUGGUGGUGGUGGGGUCAGCUGGUGGAGUAGCAGUAGAAAUGGAGAAGAGAGGAUGUGUUCAAGGCCUUUUCUGAGAUAAAGUCAACAGAUCUUAAUCAACUGGAGGUGAUCAGUGGUGGCAUUGACUUCAAGAUUGGGUCCAAGUGGAACUUUGAAACCAUUUUCCUUGAACUAGAAAGGGAAUUAGCUGAGGAGCCCGACCCAACAAAGGUUUGGGGGCGACUGGGCCCCAAGGGCCGAGAGACAGGGGUGAGUUCCGGCAGAGGCUUUAGACGGGAAAGCAGGAGGGCCAGAGGGCGGGAAAAUCACGGAGCAUGCGCACAGCACGGCUUAAGCCUGCACAGCCCUUCUCGGUGGGCGGAGUCUGUGGUAAGAUGGCUUGAAGGACUUCCUUGGUUGAGCUCCAGGGGUGAGUGGGCUUCUGGUGUCCUACGCCAGGCCCCCAGGCCUCCUGUGGCUCACCCCACGCCGAUUCCACCCGCCAGGGCCAGGGACACAUUCGCUGAGGCGCCUGCCCCGACCGCCACCAGGAGAGUGGAAGGCUGGGCCUGGUUUGACGCUUUCGCGCCCGACCUUGACCUAAGCCGAGCCUGGCGUGGCGCCCUCUUGCCCAGUGUGGGCAGAAAGGAGCGCUGGAAGUGCCUUCCUUGAGGGUCAGGUCGCGCUCUGAAGAGGUCGGCAGUGACCCAGGUCUGUGGGGCAGCGGGAGCCGACAUGAGGAGGUGCGGCGACCACCCCGGGAGGCCCCUUCCCCGCCCGCCGGUUCUGCCGAGGUUCUGCUUCCAGCUGCUCAGCUCGUGGAAAAGCAGAGGGAGGCAGGCCGGAGGCCGCUGUUCCACGCUCCAGACCAACGCCCUGGGCCCUGGAAAGAACUCAGGCUGGGGCCGAGCUGUGGGCCCACCCCCUCUUGGAAGGAGAGAAGCCGGGAUGUGAGGGAUGAGGGGUUUCCUAGGGAUACCCAACAGUCAGUGCCUGGGGUUUGUUUUCCUUUCUUUUCUGCUCGUUAGAUAAGACUGCCGUCCCUUAGAUAAAUGGUCAAUAAUUGAGUUCAUCCAGCCGUUUUUACUGAGGGUCAGACUUAGUCCAUUCCAGCGAAGAGCUAAAUGCACAUUUAAUUUUCUGUCGCGGAUGUCAGCUGAUGCUAUGGAGAGCGAGCACCGAGGAGUGAGAGGACGUAAUUGGCUGAGAGGAGCAGAGAACCUGUGGGGAAGGACUGUAGGAGUCUGAGGUUUGCCCUCCAAUCAGUGGUCUGCCUUCAUUUUCCAGAUUGAUGAAGUCUGCCUCAGAGAAGGGAGCAGUUUAUUUAAUUUCAGGAGGACCUGGGGACCUCCUGUUCUGCCAUCUUGCUUCAUCACCAACACCCUUUUUCGAUCAACAUUUUGAGUAUGCUUUCCAGCUAUGUUUGGCCUCCAUGGUUUACGCCUCCUGGUACAUAGUUGUAUAUUUCAGUUGUGGGUCCUUCUAGUUGUCGCAUGUGGGACGCUGCCUCAACUUGGCCUGACGAGUGGUGCCAUGUCUGCGCCCAGGAUCUGAAUCGGCGAAACCCUGGACUGCUGCAGAGGAGUGCACGAACUUAAUUCUUCUGCCACAGGGCUGGGCCCUGAGUUAAUUUGUAUAUAGUGUAAGUACACAGUUGUACAUUCUUCGCUGUGGGUCCCUCCAGCCGUGGCAUGUGGGACGCCGCCUCAGCAUGGUCCGAUGAGCAGUGCCAUGCCCGUGCCCAGGACCUGAACCAACGAAACACUAGGCCGCCUGCAGCGGAGCGUGCAAACUCAACCACUUGGCCACGGGGCCAGCCCCAGGAUACAGAAUUCUUGGUUGACAGUUUUUUACUUUCAGGACUUUAAAUAUGCCAGCCCACUGACUCAAGGUUUCCAUGGUUUCUGAUGAGAAAUCUGCUGUUAACCUUAUUAAUGAUCCUUGUGUGGAAUGAAUCAGUGAACUUGAAUCUGUAAAUUCAUCUUUCAUCAAAUUUGGGAUCUUUUUAGCCAUUAUUUUGUCAGUUAAAAAUUUUUUAAAAAAUAUACCAUUCUUUCAUCUCCUUGUGGGCCAUCCAUUUUAUGUUUGUUAAACUGACUGGUAUUGUGUUUCAGGGCUGUGAUGUUUAUUUUUCAAAAAAUCUUUUUUUCCUCUGUAUAUUUCAUUUUGGGUGACUUCUGUUGCUGUGUUUCAAGAUCAUUGAUCUUUUCUUCUGCAUUGUCUAGUUUGCAGUAAAUCCUAUCUGGUGUUUAUGGAUUUGAUAUUUUUUGUAGUUCCAUUGGAGUGCUUUUUUAUAACUCCUGUUUCUCUCCUCAUCUUGUUCAUGUUUCCCUUUAUAUCUUUGAUUAUAUUUAUAAGACUUUUUAUAUUCCUUAUAAGGUCCUUGUCUGCUAAUUUCAUC
This 2655-nucleotide long non-coding RNA is filed under the name Equus caballus (horse). RNAcentral describes it as "lncRNA (ENSECAG00000036838.3)". Lineage: Eukaryota; Metazoa; Chordata; Mammalia; Perissodactyla; Equidae. The record is from RNAcentral.